This 414-nucleotide ribosomal RNA is filed under the name uncultured microorganism. RNAcentral describes it as "bacterial SSU rRNA". It matches the Rfam family "Archaeal small subunit ribosomal RNA", at positions 459 to 872 of the family's 1478-position model. The record is from RNAcentral.
CAGCAGCCGCGGUAAUACCGGCGGCCCGAGUGGCGGCCACUAUUAUUGGGCCUAAAGCGUCCGUAGCCGGGCUGGUAAGUCCUCCGGGAAAUCUGGUCGCUUAACGAUCAGACUUCCGGAGGAUACUGCUGGCCUAGGGACCGGGAGAGGCCGAGGGUAUUCCCGGGGUAGGGGUGAAAUUCUGUAAUCCCGGGAGGACCACCUGUGGCGAAGGCGCUCGGCUGGAACGGGUCCGACGGUGAGGGACGAAGGCCAGGGGAGCGAACCGGAUUAGAUACCCGGGUAGUCCUGGCUGUAAACGAUGCGGACUAGGUGUCGGGCAAGCUAAGGGCUUGUCCGGUGCCGCAGGGAAGCCGUUAAGUCCGCCGCCUGGGGAGUACGGCCGCAAGGCUGAAACUUAAAGGAAUUGGCGGG